AACUAACAGUCUUCAGAAUUUGGUCAAUAAAAGUUCAAAAAUUGUCAGUUACCUUAAAAUCUUUGACUUUGAGAAUUGAGACAAUCUGAUUUCUUCUAUAUGGGUAUAUAUACAAAGAGAAGAAUGAUAAUUCAGGUUUCACAGAACCCUAUUUCUCUGCGGCAAAGACAUAAGAGACCGCAAGAAGAAGACAUUGCUAUUUGUGAAUGCAAGUAUAUAUUAUGCCAGUGAUCUUGAAUAUGCGUGUGGAGAAAGGUGUUUGAAUGUAUUGACCAACAAUGAAUGAACACCGAGAUAUUGUCAGUUCGGUGAGACUUGUAGAAAUCAGGUAACUUAGAUGAUUCGGUUAAUUAGUUGAACAUACUUGUGGUCGGGGCCUUCCCCGGACCCUGCGAAUAGCGGGAGCUUUAGUGCACCGAACUGUCCUUUUACAAUGGUCUUAUCGAUUUUUAAACUUAUAUCAGAUUGAGGAAGUGGUGAAAGUGGUGGUAUUUUAGAACUACUUUCUGUUGAGAAUGAAAUGUUCAACUAAUUAACCGAAUCAUCUAUUAAUCUUAUUCCUGCAAUUUUUCACCACAGUGACAGUAUCCUGGUGUACAUUCAGUUUUGGUUAGUACAUUCAAACACUUCUCUUUGCAUGUACUUUUAGGAUCACUUUUAAGCUGGAAUUAUAAUAUUGGAUCUAGUUCAAUACCGAAGAAGAAGUCUCAGUAUAUUCCCGAGCAGAAGGUCAAAUCUUCCAGCCGUAAGCAAGUGAACGAUGGAGAUUUGCUAAAAUGGUUGCAUCAAAGGAAGACGUUACCAAGUAUGAGGCUAGGAGCAGCCCUCAUAUUCUUUGAUCUGUAGUUCCACUUCCUCUCUCAGCCUAACUCCAUGAUGUGUUACAAAGAAAAGGUGAUCAUACCUCAUACUUGCUUCUUCUCGUGCUUCCUUCAAUGCAAACAUUUUAGCAAAAUAUCCCUCAUUCACUUGCUUAUGGAUGGAAGAUUUGACCUUCAACCAGGGAAUGCGCUGAGACUUCUUCUUCAUUGUUGAACCAGAUAUUCCUACAUGUGCUAUUACUUUUCUCACCAUCAUUCGAUAUCUUAAUAAGCUCAUUUCCUCCACUAGUUCCAGAGAUCGUUGGAAAAAAAUUCACCCUCAGCCGAGUCAUAAAGUGGAACUUCCUCCACCGUAUAUUUGCAUACCAUACCAUGUUUCUUACAAGGAGGAAACACAAAGCUAGCUACUAUGUAUGAAACAGACAACCGAAUAUGACUAAAAUAAAUCAUAGUGCAGUAAGGAACUAUAAUAUUUGAUCUGGUUCAACACCGAAGAAGAAGUCUCAGCAUAUUCCCAAACAGAGGGUAGAAUCUUCCAGCCGUAAGCAAGUGAAUUAUGGAGAUUUUGCUAAAAUGUUAGCAUCAAAGGAAGAAGUUACCAAGUAUGAGGUAUCACCACUUUUCCUCAAAACACGUCACGGAGUAGGUAACUUUAUAGACUUUUCCUUGGGGUUGGAAAGAGGCUAAUGUUCAACUCCAAUUAACUUGAUGAGCUCUUCUUUGGAGAAAGCAGAGUUUGAUCUCUACUUAUAAUGUUGCAUUGCUGCCUAUUUUCACCUCCCUCGUGAAACCCUCGGUUCAAAGCAUUGUCUCAAAACAGAUUGGGCCUAGUGAACAGGGAAAUUGCUCAAGGGUGCAUUUCAAGCAUAAGUUCUAUAGCAAACAUUCUCUUCCCCAUUCAUUUGUAGUCCUCUGACCGGCAAGUCGAAUUGAUAUUUUUCAGCCUUAUUCCUUUCAAGAAAAAAAGGUUCCUUUUCCAUAUCCUGGCUUUAGCAUUGUGUGCAUUGGCCUUGCUUGGGUAAGUAGGUCUAUGGAACUUAAUAUGGAAUCUAUUGAUUGAUGAGGAUGAGUUAACUGAGUGCAAUCUUCUACUAGUUUUUAUGUUUAUUUAACUUAUAACAUGGAUGUGUUUCUGUGUAUGUAGUUGAUAGACGUUAUUGCCAGUGCAACGAUAAAGGUGAUUCCUCUUGUCUCAAGACGGUAACAACAUUUGAAGGGUAGCAACAUACUAUUGUCUCAAGAUGAGACAAUAGUAAAUGUACCCAAAAAAUGAGAAACCUACUAGAACAUCCCAUAGGCCGAUAAUAGUAUAUGUACCCAAUAAUUUGAACAUUAUAACUCUCUCUGUUAUCAGAAAGGUUUUCAGAUGUUUUAUGACAAGCAAUGCCAUUGUAGUAGUGUCGAGGAGCGUUCAAACGCGGAAUGAUGAUGUGUUGUUGAAAAUCCUUGGAAGUAAUUGGUAAUGUUUUAGCAUCUA
Solanum dulcamara is the source of this 2298-nucleotide long non-coding RNA. RefSeq lists it as uncharacterized. The transcript is spliced from 5 exons. The record is from RefSeq and is a predicted model, not a curated record. NCBI's taxonomy places the organism in Eukaryota, Viridiplantae, Streptophyta, Magnoliopsida, Solanales, Solanaceae.